RNAcentral lists this transfer RNA (63 nucleotides) under Xylosandrus morigerus. RNAcentral describes it as "tRNA-Ile". The record is from RNAcentral. Lineage: Eukaryota; Metazoa; Arthropoda; Insecta; Coleoptera; Curculionidae.
AAUAGAGUGCCUGAAUAAAGGGUUAUCUUGAUAGGAUAAAUAAUGUGUUUUUAACCUCUAUUA